GGGCACUGGGNAUCCUACNUNGAUCGAGGUCACCUGAGAAAAAAGGUUGGAGACGCCGGCUGGCGCCCGGCCGGUCCUUAUCGAGCGGGUGACAAAGCCCCAUACGCUCGAGGACCGGACGCGGUGCCGCCGCUGCCUUUCGGGCCCGUCCCCCGGAGGGGACGACGACCCAACACACAAGCCGGGCUUGAAGGGCAGCAAUGACGCUCGGACAGGCAUGCCCCCCGGAAUGCCAGGGGGCGCAAUGUGCGUUCAAAGACUCGAUGAUUCACUGAAUUCUGCAAUUCACAUUACUUAUCGCAGUUCGCUGCGUUCUUCAUCGAUGCCGGAACCAAGAGAUCCAUUGUUGAAAGUUUUGACUGAUUUAUAUUUCAGGCUCAGACGCAACUCUACAAUCAAGAAGUUCAUGUGGUCCCCGGCGACUCGCCCCCCGGAAGGGGCUCCUCGCCGAAGCAACAGUGGUAAGGUAUUCACGGGUGGGAGGUUGGGCGCCCGGAGGCAGCCCUCACUCGGUAAUGAUCCUUCCGCAGGUUCACCUACAGAAUNUNUUUUUUNNUUNUUUUUUUCNCUUUUUUUGUNUNUUCUUUGCUGGUGUGGAAAUUAGUUCGCUUGGGGGUCGAUUCCAUUGCCCUCGUCUCUUUCUUGUGUGUUCAGCUCACUCUUCUCAGUUUUUAACACGCAUUUACUUCUUGAGAGCGUAGUCUAGGUGGAUCUCUCAUAAUACAUUUUAAUUGCAUAUAUUUAAGUUAUAUUUAAAAAAUUAUGCAACUCUGUUCGUGUUGUUGUGUGACUCAUUGNUAUAUUGUUAUAAUUUUCACUAUCCAUUGAUUCCUCGAAAUAUCCUUAGGUAACACGUAAUAUAUCCCCUUGUCGUAAACCUUAAUACUGAUUUAUAGAUAUUGCUGUGCUUGCUUUUAUACUAUUAUUUUCCCCUUUCCUCUUAUGCUUGCACGCUGGUUGCCGAAGUAAAGGUAGUUGUAUUUUUCUUGUUUAUGUAGAG
RNAcentral lists this unclassified non-coding RNA (1000 nucleotides) under Aspergillus caespitosus. Its description in RNAcentral is "sequence contains 18S rRNA gene, ITS1, 5.8S rRNA gene, ITS2 and 28S rRNA gene". Lineage: Eukaryota; Fungi; Ascomycota; Eurotiomycetes; Eurotiales; Aspergillaceae. The record is from RNAcentral.